UCUCUGGUGGCUCAGAUGGUAAAGUGUCUGCCUGCAAUGCAGGAGACCCAGGUUCGAUCCUUGGGUUGGGAA
Molecule: transfer RNA, 72 nt
Filed under: Capra hircus (goat)
Lineage: Eukaryota; Metazoa; Chordata; Mammalia; Artiodactyla; Bovidae
Also listed under: 1 other name
Rfam family: tRNA
About the family: Transfer RNA (tRNA) molecules are approximately 80 nucleotides in length. Their secondary structure includes four short double-helical elements and three loops (D, anti-codon, and T loops).
Source: Rfam by way of RNAcentral